UGAGGAAUAUUGGUCAAUGGGCGAGAGCCUGAACCAGCCAAGUCGCGUGAGGGAGUACUGCCCUAUGGGUUGUAAACCUCUUUUGUCGGGGAGCAAAAGCCGGACGUGUCCGUCUGUGAGAGUACCCGAAGAAAAAGCAUCGGCUAACUCCGUGCCAGCAGCCGCGGUAAUACGGAGGAUGCGAGCGUUAUCCGGAUUUAUUGGGUUUAAAGGGUGCGCAGGCGGAUUUUUAAGUCAGCGGUCAAAUCGUGGGGCUCAACCCCAUCCAGCCGUUGAAACUGGGGAUCUAGAGUGUGCGAGAGGUAUGCGGAAUGCGUGGUGUAGCGGUGAAAUGCAUAGAUAUCACGCAGAACCCCGAUUGCGAAGGCAGCAUACCGGUGCACAACUGACGCUCAGGCACGAAAGCGUGGGUAUCGAACAGG
This 422-nucleotide ribosomal RNA is filed under the name uncultured bacterium. RNAcentral's name for it is "bacterial SSU rRNA". It matches the Rfam family "Bacterial small subunit ribosomal RNA", at positions 355 to 776 of the family's 1533-position model. The record is from RNAcentral.